ACUCAAAUGAAUUGACGGGGGCCCGCACAAGCGGUGGAGCAUGUGGUUCAAUUCGAUGCAACGCGAAGAACCUUACCCGGGUUUGAACUGUGCUUGUAAGACUCAGAGAUGAGUACCCCUAGCAAUAGGCAAGUACAGAGGUGCUGCAUGGCUGUCGUCAGCUCGUGUCGUGAGAUGUUGGGUUAAGUCCCGCAACGAGCGCAACCCUUGCUUUUAGUUGCUCGGCCGUAAGGUCAGCACUCUAAAUAGGACUGCCGGUGAUAAACCGGAGGAAGGUGGGGAUGACGUCAAGUCAUCAUGGCCUUUAUGCCCGGGGCUACACACGUGCUACAAUGGCUGGUACAAAGGGUUGCCAAACCGCAAGGUGGAGCCAAUCCCAUCAAAGCCAGCCUCAGUUCGGAUUGUAGUCUGCAACUCGACUACAUGAAGUUGGAAUCGCUAGUAAUCGCGGAUCAGCAUGCCGCAGUGAAUACGUUUCCGGGCCUUGCACACACCGCCCGU
RNAcentral lists this ribosomal RNA (501 nucleotides) under uncultured bacterium. Its description in RNAcentral is "partial 16S ribosomal RNA". It matches the Rfam family "Bacterial small subunit ribosomal RNA", at positions 899 to 1397 of the family's 1533-position model. The record is from RNAcentral.